Molecule: ribosomal RNA, 489 nt
Filed under: Delftia acidovorans
Lineage: Bacteria; Pseudomonadati; Pseudomonadota; Betaproteobacteria; Burkholderiales; Comamonadaceae
Description: bacterial SSU rRNA
Rfam family: Bacterial small subunit ribosomal RNA
Source: RNAcentral
UACCGCAUACGAUCUGAGGAUGAAAGCGGGGGACCUUCGGGCCUCGCGCGAUUGGAGCGGCCGAUGGCAGAUUAGGUAGUUGGUGGGAUAAAAGCUUACCAAGCCGACGAUCUGUAGCUGGUCUGAGAGGACGACCAGCCACACUGGGACUGAGACACGGCCCAGACUCCUACGGGAGGCAGCAGUGGGGAAUUUUGGACAAUGGGCGAAAGCCUGAUCCAGCAAUGCCGCGUGCAGGAUGAAGGCCUUCGGGUUGUAAACUGCUUUUGUACGGAACGAAAAAGCUCCUUCUAAUACAGGGGGCCCAUGACGGUACCGUAAGAAUAAGCACCGGCUAACUACGUGCCAGCAGCCGCGGUAAUACGUAGGGUGCGAGCGUUAAUCGGAAUUACUGGGCGUAAAGCGUGCGCAGGCGGUUAUGUAAGACAGAUGUGAAAUCCCCGGGCUCAACCUGGGAACUGCAUUUGUGACUGCAUGGCUAGAGUACGG